Molecule: ribosomal RNA, 565 nt
Filed under: Ascomycota sp. IFM 58563
Lineage: Eukaryota; Fungi; Ascomycota
Description: LSU rRNA
Rfam family: Eukaryotic large subunit ribosomal RNA
Source: RNAcentral
AAACCAACAGGGAUUGCCUUAGUAACGGCGAGUGAAGCGGCAACAGCUCAAAUUUGAAAUCUGGCCCUCGGGUCCGAAUUGUAAUUUGUAGAGGAUGCUUUUGGUGCGGUGCCUUCUGAGUUCCUUGGAACAGGACGCCUUAGAGGGUGAGAGCCCCGUACAGUUGGACACCAAGCCUUUGUAAAGCUCCUUCGACGAGUCGAGUAGUUUGGGAAUGCUGCUCUAAAUGGGAGGUAAAUUUCUUCUAAAGCUAAAUAUUGGCCAGAGACCGAUAGCGCACAAGUAGAGUGAUCGAAAGAUGAAAAGUACUUUGAAAAGAGGGUUAAAUAGCACGUGAAAUUGUUGAAAGGGAAGCGUUUAUGACCAGACCUUCGUCGGGCGGAUCAUCCGGUGUUCUUCACCGGUGCACUUCGCCCGGCUUAGGCCAGCAUCGGUUUUCGUAGGGGGAUAAAGGCCUAGGGAAUGUGGCUCCCUCCGGGGAGUGUUAUAGCCCUGGGCGUAAUACCUUUAUGGGGACCGAGGUUCGCGCUCCGGCAAGGAUGCUGGCGUAAUGGUCAUCAACGAC